AUGUAUGAUUUUAGCGGGAAUAUUAUUAAAGAUGGGAGCAUAUGGAUUGAUUCGGAUCAACAUGGAAUUGUUACCUCAUGCUCAUUAUCUAUUUUGCCCGUUAGUCAUAAUAGGAGCGAUCCAAAUAAUCUAUGCAGCUUCAACUUCUCUUGGUGA
Molecule: ribosomal RNA, 156 nt
Filed under: Triticum aestivum (bread wheat)
Lineage: Eukaryota; Viridiplantae; Streptophyta; Magnoliopsida; Poales; Poaceae
Description: partial small subunit ribosomal RNA
Source: RNAcentral